UCCAGGAGAAUCCAGCAGCAGCACAAAAACACAUGCAGAACCCGAUGAUCAUGAACAAAAUCCAAAAGCUUAUCAGCUCAGGAAUAGUCCAGAUGAAGUAAAUCCAUAAGAAAAGACAUCAAUUUCUAUUUCGCAGAUUUUUUUCUACCUUUUGUGACUCAAGCCAAAGUCGGGUUCUUCCCAUUUUUCCAGACUGCUUACUCUGUUAUAAAAUUUUUCUUCUCAUAUCCAGUGUUUACUAGAAAAUUAUAACUUUGUCUAAUAGAUUUGUAUAAUGAACCAAACAAAACCACAAUAACUUUCCAGUGUAGGAUUAGUAGUCUUGGACAAAAGAAAAAUCUGUCUUAAGCUGGUUCCGAGUAUGCUCAGGAACAGCAUCGAACUUAGCCAACUGCACUCUGUUAGAUGCACGAUCUUUUGUUAUCCGGAGCUUAUACACUCCUCAAGUCUUUUCAUGACACCGGGACUAUAAUCUCUUGGUACGGCUCCUCUUUUGAUCUCACUCUUUAAUUCAUAUCCUGAUCCUGUUUCCAGUGGCUCAAACCUGACUGUAAUAUCAACAAACUGUCCUUAUCCACCUGAUUGCUUCAUGUGUGUGUAUUUCACUUCAGUUAACUUUGGAGAUACUCUCACGGUCGUUCACUUUGGCCUACCACGUGGCUUUGUUAUCUUUUUUUGCUCUCCUUGAAAAGAAUCUGAUCAGUGAAGAGGUUGGCUUUAGUUACUGAAUAUCCAAUAAAAGCAUCAUCAAUCUUGGUCCGUAAACAAUAUUCCAUCUCUGUCAAUGCCCAACAAAACCCAUGUACAGACCACAACAAUUUCAAUUUCUUCAUAUAUGUUUGUACAGAGAUAAAAACAGAGCAAGUGAAACGAACAGACAAACAAAUUCUAAUGCAAAAAAAAAAAAAAACAAUUUUUACUGCUCCUCUCCAUUCAUUGUAAGUGAUCAUCAUCAACACCCGAAAAUGAUCAUCUUAAUAAUAGAUUUCAAUACCAUCAUCACCACCAUCUUGAUUCCAUUGGUUAUAAUCUCCAUCAACAUUUCAUAUAUCACCAUCGUAACCAACUUCUUGAAAACCACCGUAAUAGCUAUAACAAUCACCAUCUUGUGAGAUUGUUCUAUACUUUCUUUGUUCUUGUCUAUGGUAUUACUAAAUAAGUUUGAAGUAAUUACGUUAUUGAGUGGAGACUGGAGAGAGCUUAUACAUAAUUUACAGGAGCAAUCUUAGGGAUUGAGUAUAUCUGUUAUUGAGUGGUGAUAAUAAUUUCCUUAAACAGCUAUGAUCAAGCAUACUGUCUUUCAUACAAAGAAUAGAAAAUCUUAAAUCUUGUGUUUCAUCAAGAACAAGAGUAGGAACGCAAAUUUUACAAUAAGUUAAACUGAAUAACAAUAUACAAAAAAAACUUAACAAAAAAGUUUUUAAAAAAUUACAUAAAGACAUAAUUAUUACAAAAAUUUAAAUAUUUCAACAACAUUAAUGGUCAGGUAAAUUUGAUCUGGAAUCUCCAAAUCUCCAAAAUAUUGUCCAAAUUUUUUUUGUGUAACCGAAGAUGGUUGUUGCUGUUGUUUUUAUGUCUUUUUCGUACGAUUCUUUCUUAUUUAUAUCGAAUGUAUUCACAAGUAUUAAUAUCAUCGAUAGAAGUUAAGCCUUUUAGCAUUAUUUUAUUUUUUCCUUUUUACUUUCUUUUUCAUAUCUAAUGUAUUUAUAAAUAUUAAUAUCACCAAUUUUUAGUUCGUACUCUAUAAAUUAAAAUUAAAAGUCAUUUUUACUUCAAAAUGUACUAUAUGAUCAUAUAUGCAUUAUGGAAAUAAUUUUGUGUAAUAUUAUGAUAUUUUGCGUAAAUUUUAAUAUCAAUUAUGUUAUUUCUAUUUAAAAUUUUAUAUUUUAAUAUAACAUUUUACUAAUUAAUAUUAUAGUAAUAUUUUUAUAUAUGUGCUAGUAAAAGUUUUAUAAAUUUAAAUUAAUUAUGACAAAUAUAAAGAUUAUAGUAUAAAAUACAAUAGUUUUGAAUUUUUUUUUGGAAUUAUUAUAGUUUUGAAUUUAAGUUCAAACUUAAACUUAAUAGUUUUAAAUUUAAGUUUGAAGUUUUAUUUUCGGAGAACAAUACAUCUCUAGAUGAUUGCUGAUACAUCUCUAGAUGAUUGCUGUGGAGCAAUCUAUGUUGAUGAUGUCUCACCAAACUCCAACACUGCUCUCUUUGAACAGGUUCUGUCAGAUCUCCAGGAGAAUCCAGCAGCAGCACAAAAACACAUGCAGAACCCGAUGAUCAUGAACAAAAUCCAAAAGCUUAUCAGUUCAGGAAUCGUCCAGAUGAAGUAAAUCCAUAAGAAAAGACCUCAAUUUCUAUUUCGCAGAUUUAUUUUUCUACCUUUUGUGACUCGAGCCAAAGUCGGGUUCUUCCCAUUUUUCCAGACUGCUUACUCUGUUAUAACAUUUUUCUUCUCAUAUCCAGUA
Molecule: long non-coding RNA, 2456 nt
Filed under: Brassica napus (rape)
Lineage: Eukaryota; Viridiplantae; Streptophyta; Magnoliopsida; Brassicales; Brassicaceae
Description: long non-coding RNA (BNAP_LNC007456)
Source: RNAcentral